AGUUCGGAUUGGAGCUGCAACCCGACUCCAUGAAGCUGGAUUCGCUAGUAAUCGCGCAUCAGCCACGGCGCGGUGAAUACGUUCCCGGGCCUUGUACACACCGCCCGUCAAGCCAUGGGAGCCGGGGGUACCUGAAGUGCGUGACCGCAAGGAGCGCCCUAAGGUAAAACCGGUGACUGGGGCUAAGUCGUAACAAGGUAAC
Molecule: ribosomal RNA, 202 nt
Filed under: uncultured bacterium
Lineage: Bacteria
Description: partial 16S ribosomal RNA
Rfam family: Bacterial small subunit ribosomal RNA
Source: RNAcentral